Molecule: long non-coding RNA, 154 nt
Organism: Monomorium pharaonis (pharaoh ant)
Lineage: Eukaryota; Metazoa; Arthropoda; Insecta; Hymenoptera; Formicidae
Exons: 2
Source: RefSeq, a predicted model, not a curated record
CAACGCCGUAUCUGCCGUCAUUUCAUCUAAUAAACUAUAAGGGCGUUAAAGGGAAAUGUAAGGAACUCUAUAUUAAAAAUUUUGAAAAUUUUAUUUUCCAUGUAUUUAUAUUUUAAUGGUGUUAUUAAAAUAUAGAUUGGGAUACUUACGAAAA